RNAcentral lists this ribosomal RNA (623 nucleotides) under Dimorphicosmia variegata. RNAcentral describes it as "eukaryotic LSU rRNA". It matches the Rfam family "Eukaryotic large subunit ribosomal RNA", at positions 412 to 796 of the family's 3401-position model. The record is from RNAcentral. Lineage: Eukaryota; Metazoa; Arthropoda; Insecta; Lepidoptera; Noctuidae.
GGGGUAAACCUGCGAAACUCGAAUGAACGAACGGAGAGAUUCAUCGUCAUUCCGCGGCGUACGGACGCGCGCCUCGAUGCCGUCGGCUUCGGCCGGUAGGCACGGGUCGCGUCCGUCGACGUCCGCGGACGGCGUGCACUUCUCUCUUAGUAAAUACAUCGCGACCCGUUCGAUGUCGGUCUAAGCGCUGUACGGGAGCCCCGUUGCCCCUUCACGGGGGUAGUGGGACCGCGACGGUGGCCGACCGGCCGUCGGACGGUAGUUUUGACGAAUCGCGCACGCGUUUAGACGCGUCCGGCCCGACGCAAGUCAACGUCGUAUCCUAUGUCUACGCCUUAGUGCGGACGCAGGUGCGGCGCGUCUGCUGUCGCCGCCGUGUUGUCUCGGACUGUGCGCGUCUCUGUCUGCGAUGAUUCAGUUUCGGGCACUCGCAGGACCCGUCUUGAAACACGGACCAAGGAGUCUAGCAUGUAUGCGAGUCAUUGAGAUAAUAAAACUGAAAGGCGCAACGAAAGUGAAGGCGCGCGCUAGCCGCGUGCUCAGGGAGGAUGGAGCGUCGAUCUAGGUCGAUCUCUCGCACUCCCGAGGCGUCUCGUUUCCAAUCCGUGAAUGCAGGCGCGCUC